RNAcentral lists this ribosomal RNA (281 nucleotides) under uncultured bacterium. RNAcentral describes it as "partial 16S ribosomal RNA". It matches the Rfam family "Bacterial small subunit ribosomal RNA", at positions 32 to 321 of the family's 1533-position model. The record is from RNAcentral.
AAUCAACGCUGGCGGCGUGCCUAACACAUGCAAGUCGAACGCGAAAGGGGACUUCGGUUCCUGAGUAGAGUGGCGUACGGGUGAGUAACGCGUGGGUCAUCUGCCCUCGGGUGGGGAAUAACUAAUCGAAAGGUUAGCUAAUACCGCAUAACACAGUGAUGUCAAAGCAGCAAUGUGCCUGAGGAGGAGCCUGCGUCUGAUUAGGUAGUUGGUGGGGUAACGGCCUACCAAGCCUGCGAUCAGUAGCUGGUCUGAGAGGACGGCCAGCCACAAUGGCGCUG